This is a long non-coding RNA of Alnus glutinosa, 972 nucleotides long. RefSeq lists it as uncharacterized. Lineage: Eukaryota; Viridiplantae; Streptophyta; Magnoliopsida; Fagales; Betulaceae. The record is from RefSeq and is a predicted model, not a curated record. The transcript is spliced from 4 exons.
AUCUAAACUCGCCGCUCUUCAGUGAAAUUCGCUGAGCUUCUUCUUUCUCUCUCCUUUAUUAUUGCUCUUCUUUCUUUUUCUUUUCUCUUUUGUUUCCUUUCUUCUUCUCGUUCAUUCUAGUAACAGAGAGAGUGAGAUGAGAAGGGAACCGAGAGGGAGGGAGAUCUGAAAGCCGAGAAAGAGAAUCACCCGAUUCUCCUUUCCUCUACCUCUCUUCUUCUUUCUUGCUCUUUCCUUUCCCUUUUUCCGCCCGAGUCUCAGAGAAAGAGACGAUCGUGGGAGAAGGAGAAAUCGAGAUGAGAGAGUGGGAGAAUACCGAGAGUUCGGGAGGGAGAGAAAUCGGGAGACCCAAAUGUGAGGAACCGAGACAGGGAGAGACCGAGAGAUUCUGAUUGAAGGGAGAGGAAGACCGGAGGCCGAUCUUCCACAGGGAGUCGCUGGCGAAGCUGAGGGUGCGAUUUCCGGCGAUCCAUCCCGUGACCCGCUCGACACCUUUUUCCGGUGGAUUUACGGUGAAAAUCCCCAAAAUAGAUGAUGAACUGAGAGCUGCACUAAAGGGCUGAUAGUGUCCAGAUUGGAGACUUCAAGGGGUUCUCCAAUGUUGAGUUCGAGUCAAGAGUCCAAUGCAGUCAAGAUGAUGUUUCUUUGGCUGCAGGUACUACGGUAUAGUCGAUGGGUCGGUAGCAGUGUGCUUGGGAUAUUAUGACUGAAGCUCACCGCGACGGUUGUAAUUGUCGGACCAUGGGUUGUCCACUAUUUUAUAGGAUUGGUAUACUUUGUGAUGUUUGUGUCACAUAUUCUUUGUAAAGCAAUAGUAGUUUUGUAAAUAAUGUGUUAAUAAGACUCAUACAGAUAGAUGUUAAAUGGCUCUUUGUUGUAAUUAAUUUGUGAUAGAUGUAUAAGUUGUAAUUUCUGCUAUUCAGAUUUAUGUUUUCCGCUGCAUAGAUAGAUAUAUGUCAUACUUUGAUUAUC